AUUAGAUCUCCCUGGACUUCGGUCCCUAAAGGCUCCUCCAAGACCAGGAGGUUGAUAGGCCGGAAGUGUAAGCGUAGCAAUACGUUCAGCUGACCGGUACUAAUUGGCCGUGAGGCUUGACCGU
This 124-nucleotide ribosomal RNA is filed under the name Nitrospinota bacterium. RNAcentral describes it as "partial 23S ribosomal RNA". It matches the Rfam family "Bacterial large subunit ribosomal RNA", at positions 2804 to 2925 of the family's 2925-position model. Lineage: Bacteria; Pseudomonadati; Nitrospinota. The record is from RNAcentral.